UCUUCAUUUCACGUGAUCUCUCACCGGUCAGAGUGACGAGGGAGUGCGUAAAAUGAAGAGA
This 61-nucleotide microRNA precursor is filed under the name Pristionchus pacificus. RNAcentral describes it as "mir-8364 microRNA precursor family". It matches the Rfam family "mir-8364 microRNA precursor family". Lineage: Eukaryota; Metazoa; Nematoda; Chromadorea; Rhabditida; Neodiplogasteridae. The record is from Rfam by way of RNAcentral.